UGGGGAAUUUUGGACAAUGGGCGAAAGCUUGAUCCAGCAAUGCCGCGUGUGUGAAGAAGGCCUUCGGGUUGUAAAGCACUUUUGUCCGGAAAGAAAAUCCUUGGGCUCUAAUACAGUCGGGGGAUGACGGUACCGGAAGAAUAAGCACCGGCUAACUACGUGCCAGCAGCCGCGGUAAUACGUAGGGUGCAAGCGUUAAUCGGAAUUACUGGGCGUAAAGCGUGCGCAGGCGGUUUGCUAAGACCGAUGUGAAAUCCCCGGGCUCAACCUGGGAACUGCAUUGGUGACUGGCAGGCUAGAGUAUGGCAGAGGGGGGUAGAAUUCCACGUGUAGCAGUGAAAUGCGUAGAGAUGUGGAGGAAUACCGAUGGCGAAGGCAGCCCCCUGGGCCAAUACUGACGCUCAUGCACGAAAGCGUGGGGAGCAAAACAGGAUUAGAUACCCUGGUAGUCCACGCCCUAAAACGAUGUCAACUAGUUGUUGGGGAUUCAUUUCCUUAGUAACGUAGCUAACGCGUGAAGUUGACCGCCUGGGGAGUACGGUCGCAAGAUUAAAACUU
Molecule: ribosomal RNA, 558 nt
Filed under: uncultured bacterium
Lineage: Bacteria
Description: partial 16S ribosomal RNA
Rfam family: Bacterial small subunit ribosomal RNA
Source: RNAcentral